This is a non-coding RNA of Cricetulus griseus (Chinese hamster), 4504 nucleotides long. The record is from RefSeq and is a predicted model, not a curated record. Lineage: Eukaryota; Metazoa; Chordata; Mammalia; Rodentia; Cricetidae.
UGCCCUCUAAAGGGGAAAACAUUGUGGGGAUUCUUGGGCAGAGCCAGAAUUGUAGCCAGCAUUGCCUGUUCUUUUAACCUAUGGUGCCUCCAGAUGACUGGCCCUGAGGUAGAAAAGGUGCUUACCAGUCACUUGGCUUUGAAAAUGCUGACACAACUUGUAAGGAGGUACGUAGGGAUUACAGUUAGAUUGUAUCUGGACAUAAUAUGUUCUAGUCACCUUUAAAAAAUAUCUCUUGCAGCAGUCCUUAAGUAAGUUAUAUGCUCAGAGUGAGGGAAAUGGUGCCUGUUACAUAAGUAGAAAAAAAAACAGAACAUUUUACAUGUGUUUGCAGCCACAUGGAUUUCAAAUUUUAAUAAAAGCAUGCCCCUUUCCCUCCAUCUCCCGUGAUCUGCACAGCCUCCCAGGUUUAUACCCAAGAUGUCAGAGAGGAAUUCAUUGGGUUAACAAAUGCCGUUUACAAAUGGGUAUUCAUCAGCAACCCCAAGAGAGCCUGGGAAGUGGCUGAUAACCCUGUAAACACUAGGCACUGUUACCCUGAGAGUCCCCAUGAAUAACUCUCAGCCACCAAAAUGCACCAUUGAUCAGCUCUGUUAGGCAGCCUCAGGUAGUGGGGGUUCAACCUCAGUUCCACCACCUGACUUACACCGACUCCUAACGUGGGACAGGGCCAAGCCAGCAGCUACAGUAGGACUUAUUUUAGGCAGAAACAGCCAGAGCCUGUAGAGACUGCAGAUUCACUCAGGGGUAAUAGAUGACGAUUAUGGAGGGGAAAUUAAGGUUCUGGUUCAGUUACUCUAAACUUGGUUUGCUAUUACACCUAAAUUAAAAAUUGUACCCCUAGAGAUAUUCCCUAAUACUAAGCAAGGAAAGGUGCUCAUGGCUUAGACCUAUAAAGAUUGGGGUUUUGGGUCUUCAAACCAUGUUACUGAGUACAAGGAGUGACAGAAAAUUACUCAGAAAUGAUGCUGAACUUAAAUAGUAAAGCUUUUCUUGGGCUUAUUGAUACCAGGGCAGAUGUGCCCAUGAUUGUGGAAUGAUACACUGGCCUCCAGCGUAGCCACUUCAGCCAAUCACAACCAGCCUACAGGGAGUCGGCAAGGUGUGGGCACCAUCACCAAGUUCACUGUAAUUAGAUGUCAGGAUGCUGGAGGUCAUCAAGGAGCUUUAGGCUGUAUACCCUGCCCAAUUUGCUUGUGAUUUUAUGGGACUGACAUAUCUGAGCCAAAUGGGAAUCCUGUUAUAUAGCCAAAGCCAUACUAUUAUUAGAUAGUACACCAGGGAUUUAAUCCUUUAUGGGGUUUGGGUAAAAUACAAGUUGCAGCUACUCCCAUAAAUCUUCGGGAUGAUUAUAAAAGGCUGGGCAUAGUGGGAUGUCAUCUGACUGCUGGUGUUCACUAGCAGCCUUGGUCAGUGUUACAUGGCAUGCCUGGUGGAAAUUCGCCACCCAGAUCACUUGGCCAUCAGAGAAGCUCUCUGGGUAGAUCAGUGACCACUCACAGGGGGGAAAUUGCCUCUACUGCUUUGGUGGAGAACCAGUUACAGGGCAGUUCCUUAUCCGCUGGAACACCCCUGUCAGGAAAUCAGGUAAAUAGAGGCUGUUCCAGGAUUCAGGAGCUAUAAACAGAGUCAUGCAGGCAGUGGGCCAGGACCACCAACCAUCAUCUGUUGCUGUACCAUCACAUUUUUAUUUAUUAUAGCUGACUUAAAGCAUUGCUUUUCACCAUUUGGCCACAUCCUGACUAUCUGGAAAAGUUUGCUUUUACCCCUCUCCUGCCUAAUCAUAGUCUAUCUGCACAGCAUUUUCCCAGGGUGUGAAAGCAGCCCUACUGUGUGUUAGGAAUUUGUUGUUGAAACGCCAGGGCUCACUGUAUGGGUGAUAUUCUUUCUUACUAGUCAUCUGAUUCUUCCAAACUGGCAGUGAGCUUUGUUGGUCUCAAAAAGAGACCUCUAGACCUGUUUCUCCAGAAAAGAUUCAAAAGGCAUCUCCAUUCUAGUACCUAGGUAAGAAUAUAGAGGAGCAUGCUGUGUGCCUUCAAAAGCUAGAAACUUGCAAGGAUUUUCUCAAAACUCUUAUGAUUUUCAAGAAAUAGUUGGGAGAUGUAAUUGACUCAGACCUGUACUUAAGCUUACUAUCCAAGAACUUUCUCCAUUUUCCAAAAUUUAGGAGGGGACACUGGUCCCUCUUCUCCAUGCCAUACUGCUCUGCUUUUGAGGCUCUGAUGGCUCUAGCUGUAUGACAGUGUCUGUGUCCAGGUAUAUAUAUGGGUCCUAGGCAUGCCUCUUUCACUAGCAAUCCCAAAAUCACCCAUGACCCCUACUGGGGCACUCUGGCAAUUGCAAAGCAUUUUGAAAUAGUUAGAUUUAGGGCAUUCCUCAUCCAGAGUUUUGAACCUUUGCUAUGAGUUGGUGGCAAAAUUAAUCUCAAAGGGCCUCAAACACACUACAGGACUGCUGGAUAAAGAGCCAGAAGUAAAUACCAUCCCAUAUGCAGGCAAUCAACAACAUGGGCUACAGUCAAUUGCCUGGUAGUGCUCUUUGGCUGAUUACCCUGGCCAGCUUGAUUCUCAUCUUUCACCAUCCAAGAUAUACUCACUGUACAUCCAUCCAUGGGGUUAUUUUCCUGAGGCCAUACAGUCUUCACCCCUUGCUUUAGCUAGAACUGUCCUUACAGCCACUUGCGGCAGCGCUGUAGCUACCUACCACUCCUACUUGGGCUCUGAAGUACAGUGCACUCAAUGAGCUCAACUCUGCAGUCUACAUAGUUUUGAAAGAUGUUGCCUUCCCUCCUGUCAAUAUUUACAGCCAAUGCUACUAUGUAGUAAGGCAAGCCUAUGUAGGUCGGGCACCAGAUCAAAAGCUAUACCACUCUUGCUUCCAUGUCAGAGCCCUUGCUUUGUUUGCCAUAUUUGAUCACAUUCAGCUCUCCCCAGGCCAUUGGCUGAUGCUAAUGCAUGGCUGACACUUGGUCUCAGGGUCCUUGCUCUGCUUCCCUGUUGUUACCUUGAUAAAAGCCUGUGAUAGUCAUUCUCUGUCAACAAAACGCCUCCUCUUUACAAAAGAAUCUGCCAUUUUCUGAGAACAGGAUAGGCUAAUAGUUAAGCUAUGCACUCACUGCAGUCCUUUCCAGCUUGUCACAUAUGAUGGUGGCAUUGACCCCGGGAUGUUACAUCCCAGUGCUGUGUGGCAGAUGGAUGUUCUUCCUGUCAUCUCCUUUGGGAGAGUAGUUUGUGCAUGUUUCUGUUGCUAUCUGUUCUCAUGUUGUUUAUAUCCUGUCUACUCAGGGAGGUUGCCAUCCUAGUAUUUCUCAUUGCCUUUUGCAUUUGUAUUAUGGGCCAUCCACAACACCUAAAGAUGGACAGUGCUCCUGCUUACAACUUUUCUGCAUUAAAAAAACUGUUGUGUCCAACAUGAAGUAGCUUACAACAUGGGCAUUCCUUACAACCCUCAGAGACAGGUCACUCAGACAACAGUUAGAAAAGCAAGAGGGGGAGAUUUUUUGCCCCUACCAAGUCUCUAAACAAGGCUUUAUUUACAUUAAAUUUUAAAUCAUAUAGAAGAUGGCAUUAUGGCAACAGAAUAGUACUGAUGACCACAGGACAGGGGAAUAAAACCUAAGAUGCUAUGGAAACAUGUCAUGACAGGAAAAGGUUUGGCCUGUUCCCCGUGCUAAUGUGGGGAAGAGGGUAUUCUUGUGUCUUCCCUGAAGGUGUGGAACAGCCACUUUGGGUACCUUCAAGGCAUCUAAAGAGCUGUGGAUGCAGUGAAGUUCCUGGUUGCAGGUGUGAAGAGACCAAGACCGGAGCCCACAGAGAAACCCAAAGUGUGGCCCUUGAAGCCAGUCGAGCGCUCUCCAAGGAGGAGGCCUCCUGCACAAACUUCAAGGAGGGCGACACCACCAACAUGGGGUCAGAUAAAAAGGCUGAUGCAAAUGUCGGAGGAGGGAGCACGAGGCCUGGGGUUGGGAAAUAACCCGGCGGCUAUAUUUCUGAUGUGUCUGGUAAUCAUAUCUAUCCAGUCUGGUGUUGAGCAUUACAGCGAACCACCUCUGGACUAAACGUGGAGAGUCAUCGUGAACAUCUAAGAAAUAAGAAAGGGGGAGAUGUAGGGAGCAGAGGAAGGCCUAAGUGAAUGUGUAUUGUUUGACAUGAGCACGGCUAUGUCAAGGACCCCAGUGCCUCAGAUCCAUGGACAUGGCAAAGCCUUUUCCGGGUCAGGCUCAGGGCCAAAGCCUUCCCCUGGUCCCAGCACGAAUGUUGACAGUGUGCACAGAAAGCAACAACUGCAGCUUCCUCCCUCCUCCCAACUGCAGCUUCCUCCUCCCAACUGCAGCUUCCUCCUCCUGGAUGUUUACAGCCUGAGACUGUUCCCUUACAGAGACCUCCCACCAAGACUAACCCCUCCUCCUCGUGCUGUACAUAAUAAACAUGCUGAGUUUCCGCGUUGCUUAGUAAGUGCUCUCCAUCAUAGAGAGCAAAGCCUACCGGUUCUCAGCUUUUCUGUA